Callithrix jacchus (white-tufted-ear marmoset) is the source of this 563-nucleotide non-coding RNA. The record is from RefSeq and is a predicted model, not a curated record. Lineage: Eukaryota; Metazoa; Chordata; Mammalia; Primates; Cebidae.
GAAAAACAUGAAUACAGGGAGGGAUCAGCACUUGGCUGGACAGUUCUGAUCUCCACUAGAUCAGAAACAGAGGCGCAACCAGGUGAUAUCUUCUGGAGGAAAUUCAGUCAUAAAGAUAGAGCCCUCGUGAAUGGGAUUAGUGUCCUCAAAGAAGAGACCUCAGAGUGAUCCCUUGCUCCCUUUCUAUGAUGUGAGGAUAAAAAAGAGAUGACAGUCUCCAACUUGAAAGAGGUCCCUCACCAGAACCCGACCACACAAGCACUGUGAUCUCAGCUCCCGGCUCCAGAACGCUGAGAAAUAUGUUUCUGUUGCUUGCAAGCUCUCCAUCUAUGGUAUUUCUUAUAAGUAAGACAGAAGUCUAGCCAGAAGAAGAAGGAACUCAGGGGCAGAUAAUGAAAAGGAGCAAAAAAGCAGGCAAGUAAGAAGUAAGGAAUCAGAAGAGAGAUCACAAUGAGAGCAACAUGGAACCAGGAUGUUGAAAAUCAGUCACUUGGCACUGAUCCCAGAGAGGGCAAAAGUCGACAAUCUUAUUAUUUCAGUGUCUGGGUAGGUUUUCUAAUUAA